This 99-nucleotide ribosomal RNA is filed under the name uncultured bacterium. RNAcentral describes it as "partial 16S ribosomal RNA". It matches the Rfam family "Bacterial small subunit ribosomal RNA", at positions 1384 to 1482 of the family's 1533-position model. The record is from RNAcentral.
UACACACCGCCCGUCACACCAUGGGAGUGGGUUUUGCCAGAAGUAGGUAGCCUAACCGCAAGGAGGGCGCUUACCACGGCAGGACUCAUGACUGGGGUG